This 489-nucleotide ribosomal RNA is filed under the name uncultured bacterium. RNAcentral describes it as "partial 16S ribosomal RNA". It matches the Rfam family "Bacterial small subunit ribosomal RNA", at positions 28 to 506 of the family's 1533-position model. The record is from RNAcentral.
GAUGAACGCUAGCUACAGGCUUAACACAUGCAAGUCGAGGGGCAGCAUGGUCUUAGCUUGCUAAGGCCGAUGGCGACCGGCGCACGGGUGAGUAACACGUAUCCAACCUGCCGUCUACUCUUGGACAGCCUUCUGAAAGGAAGAUUAAUACAAGAUGGCAUCAUGAGUCCGCAUGUUCACAUGAUUAAAGGUAUUCCGGUAGACGAUGGGGAUGCGUUCCAUUAGAUAGUAGGCGGGGUAACGGCCCACCUAGUCUUCGAUGGAUAGGGGUUCUGAGAGGAAGGUCCCCCACAUUGGAACUGAGACACGGUCCAAACUCCUACGAGAGGCAGCAGUGAGGAAUAUUGGUCAAUGGGCGCAGGCCUGAACCAGCCAAGUAGCGUGAAGGAUGACUGCCCUAUGGGUUGUAAACUUCUUUUAUAAAGGAAUAAAGUCGGGUAUGUAUACCCGUUUGCAUGUACUUUAGGAAUAAGGAUCGGCUAACUCCGU